Molecule: ribosomal RNA, 133 nt
Filed under: uncultured bacterium
Lineage: Bacteria
Description: partial 16S ribosomal RNA
Source: RNAcentral
AAGGAGGUACCGUCAAGGGCGGCCGUUUCUUGACCUACCUUUUUCCGUCCCUCCCACAGAGCUUACAACCAAGGCCUUAUUCACUCACGCGGCGUGGCUGGAUCAGGCUUUCGCCCAUUGUCCAAUAUUCCCC